CAACACUCAAGCUCUGCUUGGUAUUGGGCGCCGCCCUGUGCGGGCGCGCCUCAAACUCCUCGGCGUCGCCGUCCGUUUUUAAGCGCAGCGAGAUCAUUUUCCAGCGUUUUCAAAGCCGGGCCUCGACCGCCGGACAAUACCUUCUACUUUUCAA
RNAcentral lists this unclassified non-coding RNA (154 nucleotides) under uncultured Helotiales. Its description in RNAcentral is "sequence contains ITS2". Lineage: Eukaryota; Fungi; Ascomycota; Leotiomycetes; Helotiales. The record is from RNAcentral.